CCUACGGGCGGCAGCAGUGAGGAAUCUUCCUCAAUGGGCGAAAGCCUGACGGAGCAACGCCGCGUGAUCGAAUAAAGGCCUACGGGUUGUAAAGAUCUUUUGACAGGGACGAAUAAGCAAUACGAAUAGUUUUGUGUAUGAAGUUACCUAUUUAGGAAGCUCCGGCUAACUACGUGCCAGCAGCCGCGGUAAGACGUAGGGAGCAAGCGUUGGCCUGAAUUACUUGGCGUAAAGGGCGCGUAGGUGGGGGCUUAAGUCAGGUGUGAAAACUUCGGGCUCAACCUGGAGACUGCACUUGAAACUGGGUGUCGUGAGGGCAGGAGAGGAAAGUGGAAUUCAUAGUGUAGUGGUGAAAUGCGUAGAUAUUAGGAGGAACACCAGUGGCGAAGGCGACUUUCUGGACUGUCACUGACGUUGAGGCGCGAAAGCGUGGGUAGCGAACGGGAUUAGAUACCCUUGUAGUC
This 464-nucleotide ribosomal RNA is filed under the name uncultured bacterium. Its description in RNAcentral is "partial 16S ribosomal RNA". It matches the Rfam family "Bacterial small subunit ribosomal RNA", at positions 338 to 795 of the family's 1533-position model. The record is from RNAcentral.